RNAcentral lists this transfer RNA (64 nucleotides) under Histeridae sp. BMNH 1274743. RNAcentral's name for it is "tRNA-Glu". The record is from RNAcentral. Lineage: Eukaryota; Metazoa; Arthropoda; Insecta; Coleoptera; Histeridae.
AUUUAUAUAGUUUAAUUAAAAACCUUACAUUUUCAUUGUAAUAACGAAGGAUAUUCUAUAAAUA